This 579-nucleotide ribosomal RNA is filed under the name uncultured bacterium. RNAcentral's name for it is "partial 16S ribosomal RNA". It matches the Rfam family "Bacterial small subunit ribosomal RNA", at positions 355 to 932 of the family's 1533-position model. The record is from RNAcentral.
UGGGGAAUUUUGGACAAUGGGCGAAAGCCUGAUCCAGCAAUGCCGCGUGUGUGAAGAAGGCCUUCGGGUUGUAAAGCACUUUUGUCCGGAAAGAAAUCCUUGGCUCUAAUACAGUCGGGGGAUGACGGUACCGGAAGAAUAAGCACCGGCUAACUACGUGCCAGCAGCCGCGGUAAUACGUAGGGUGCAAGCGUUAAUCGGAAUUACUGGGCGUAAAGCGUGCGCAGGCGGUUUGCUAAGACCGAUGUGAAAUCCCCGGGCUCAACCUGGGAACUGCAUUGGUGACUGGCAGGCUAGAGUAUAGCAGAGGGGGGUAGAAUUCCACGUGUAGCAGUGAAAUGCGUAGAGAUGUGGAGGAAUACCGAUGGCGAAGGCAGCCCCCUGGGCCAAUACUGACGCUCAUGCACGAAAGCGUGGGGAGCAAACAGGAUUAGAUACCCUGGUAGUCCACGCCCUAAACGAUGUCAACUAGUUGUUGGGGAUUCAUUUCCUUAGUAACGUAGCUAACGCGUGAAGUUGACCGCCUGGGGAGUACGGUCGCAAGAUUAAAACUCAAAGGAAUUGACGGGGUCAUAGCUG